UGGGGAAUAUUGCACAAUGGGCGCAAGCCUGAUGCAGCCAUGCCGCGUGUAUGAAGAAGGCCUUCGGGUUGUAAAGUACUUUCAGUCGGGAGGAAGGUGUCAAGGUUAAUAACCUUGGCAAUUGACGUUACCGACAGAAGAAGCACCGGCUAACUCCGUGCCAGCAGCCGCGGUAAUACGGAGGGUGCAAGCGUUAAUCGGAAUUACUGGGCGUAAAGCGCACGCAGGCGGUUGAUUGAGUCAGAUGUGAAAUCCCCGGGCUUAACCCGGGAAUUGCAUCUGAUACUGGUCAGCUAGAGUCUUGUAGAGGGGGGUAGAAUUCCAGGUGUAGCGGUGAAAUGCGUAGAGAUCUGGAGGAAUACCGGUGGCGGAGGCGGCCCCCUGGACGAAGACUGACGCUCAGGUGCGAAAGCGUGGGGAGCAAACAGG
RNAcentral lists this ribosomal RNA (429 nucleotides) under Chloroflexota bacterium. RNAcentral's name for it is "Chloroflexi bacterium partial 16S ribosomal RNA". It matches the Rfam family "Bacterial small subunit ribosomal RNA", at positions 355 to 776 of the family's 1533-position model. Lineage: Bacteria; Bacillati; Chloroflexota. The record is from RNAcentral.